RNAcentral lists this unclassified non-coding RNA (640 nucleotides) under Hevea brasiliensis (rubber tree). Lineage: Eukaryota; Viridiplantae; Streptophyta; Magnoliopsida; Malpighiales; Euphorbiaceae. The record is from RNAcentral.
GAAAGGAAAACAGGGGACGAGAAAGAUUCUGGGAAGGAAAAUGGCGUGCAUCAUCACCACAAAACAGUGAGAACCCAUGGGAGAUUUAGUGGUAAAGCCAAAAAGACAAGUGGUUGUAAUGGAAACCAGGGCGUUGAGGAGAAGGUUAAAAAGAUUGAAGGAAAGAUGCCUGAUGAAAGUUAUGAAGCUUUAAUUGGAACCAAGUCAGAUAGUAUAAACCUUGAAAUUUCAGAGGCAAAACACAGUGAUGGUUGCCAUGAAAAAGUUGGCCAUUCUGCUGUUGGUCAAGAAGCAACUGCGAUAGGUGCCCCCCGUAAUAUAUGGAAAAGUGAAGAAGCAGGAAGUGAUUGUUCAAUUAAAAAUACAGGAAUUAUAGAUCUCAGUGGUAAUAAGCUAACUGGUGUCAACUUGAAAUGUUUAAAUGAUACAAGUAGAAAGGUACAACAUGAAAAUAGCAGAGAUUAUGAGGAUUCAACUGUAAAAGAACUGCAUGCUAUCAUCAACCACCCAAGGACACCAGAAGAGAAAACUGAGGAGCUGGUGAAGUCCACCAAAGGCUGUGAAAUCAAUGAUUAUAAUGGUAUGGAGUUAGCUGGUGCUCAUCUUAAAACUUUGGAGGUGAAAAUUAAUGAUGGCUAUC